GUCGGGAGGCGGUGACGGAGGAGCUCUCACGCCUUUCUUCAAGUUUUGGUCACGUGACUACACAGGGGGGGUGUUACACGAAGACACACACCCCGCCCUAGCCGGGCCUUCCGUGUAGUCCACAAACCUCACAACGACCUUGUGAAGUAGGUUAGGACGGGAAGCCCAAGGUCAUCCAAGUUGUGCCUCGGAUCAGCAGCGAUCUAAAUCUGGGCUUCCUGUUGACUGGGCCAACUUUCCUCCCUUUUAUGCCAUGCAGAUCUGUUGGAGUUGCACUUCCGUACUGUCUGGGAGUUAUGGGAGUUGCAGUCCUAACACAUCUAGAGGCCACCAGGUUGGGAAGAUUGCUCUAACCACUACACCUCAAUGCAGCCUGUCUCCUUAGGAAAGUUAUGUGGCUAUUUUUAAUCCGUUUUUCAUCAAGAACCAGAAGUGGCUCCUGCUUUCCCUCUUUAUCUGUACGACAACCCUCUGAAGGGGCCCAGGACUGAGAGAGUUAAUGACUGGCCCAAGGUCACCAAGGGGCUUUAUAGAUGGGGCAGGAUUUGAAUCCAACUCUCCCUCCUUGCUCUUCAGGCUCGGUUCUGUGCCCAGCCAAGGUAUCCCGUGACGUCCAUGGGAGAAAAAAGGAGAAUGCUGAAAUAAUCCCUCAUUGAAAUAUAGACCUUUCUGUCCCCUUCCCUCAAAGGAGAACAAACUUGAUGUCCACCAUCUUUCCCCUCCACGAAGCCAACUCAACUGAGAAAAGUGUCACCAUGAUGAACAGCUCAGUCCCUGCUUGGCUUAAUCCAAAUGAAGAAACCUCAGUAGUCAAAAUGUAUUCUGGAAGUCCAAAGUCACAGAUCGAGGUGGCUCAUCAUUCCGCUUGAGAUAUGAGUGAACCACAUUAACUACUUGAGGAGUGAGGAUUCUAGUCCAGGAUUGUGAAUCUAAUUUCAGAGGCAGGAAGUGACAAUGUCUGU
Long non-coding RNA from Python bivittatus (Burmese python), 962 nucleotides. RefSeq lists it as uncharacterized. Lineage: Eukaryota; Metazoa; Chordata; Lepidosauria; Squamata; Pythonidae. The record is from RefSeq and is a predicted model, not a curated record.